GACACUCCCCUUUCCUUCAGGUGUGUAGCAUAAAUCAUUGCGGUGGUAGCUAGUUAGCAAAGACGCCGUGUUUUUGAUGCUGUCGAGUGUAGCGUGGGCACACCGCUCUCUCUGUCCCUUCGUUUGUGGUUGAGCCACCGUACAGGAAAGCCCUGUCCAUCGGCGGCUGGCGUGGGGUCGGCUGCUGUUCUGGGAUGGUGUGCUGAGCUGGGCAAACUCAAGUGUCGCUGGUGAUGUUCUUCCACUUUGUGUCCUGUGUGGUUGACUGCUUGCAUGCCGCUUCGAGAGAACCAGAGGUAAUGCCGGCAUUUUCUGUAAGAGUUUCGACGCUUAGCACUUGAGUUGUGUGGGGUGGGAGUGGGGGUGCUCCGCAGGUGUGAUGGCGGGACUGGCAGCGUGGUGCCUUUGAUAUCGCGCUGUGGUGUCGUGGUUGCACCUGUGGGAGCGCCCACAUUUCCACAAUACACAACUCCUGUUGAAUCGGGUUAUAAAUGCCGUUUCUAAUGGUAACUUUCUCGUUAAAUGUACAUAGGAGGAGUUGGUGCCUUCGACUACACUGAUGCAGUGUCACUAGAGAAGGGGGGCAUCACUGUUCUUUUCCCAACCUUUUGUUUUGUUUUGUCCUAUUGUGUGAGUGAUUCAUCCGGUGCAACCUUUUCACUUUGACGUCCGAGACGAAGGGGCUUGUGUAAGUUUCACUCUAACAUACGAGACGAAGGGGCUCGUGUAAGUUUCUACUUAGUAACCGCCAAGACGGAGCUUGUGUAUAUGAUUAGGGUAUGAACACUGAAGUAUUACUGGGAGACGUAUCUUAAAUCUCAGACUCCUUUUGGAACCUAUAGGCCUACUUGCUGUAGGGGGAGACCAAAGACGUGUGUCUAACAGGCUUGUGUGUGUGUGUGGUGGCCAUUACCAAUUUUGCCCUUUUGGCAGUUUGUUUUCUUUUGUUUGAUUUACUAACUUUGUUUGCCGUGCAAUUUUUGUUAUUUGGUCUGCCCCUCGUGCAAAUGCCAAUUACCAUUAGCACUUUUGCAUAACUAGCACUUUUGCACAAGUUUGUAUAUUGAGAUGACGUGCCUAUAAGUAAUGUAAAUGUUCAUAUUCUAUAUUUUCAUAUUUGACUGAGCCCGUGAGGC
Long non-coding RNA from Engraulis encrasicolus (European anchovy), 1136 nucleotides. RefSeq lists it as uncharacterized. NCBI's taxonomy places the organism in Eukaryota, Metazoa, Chordata, Actinopteri, Clupeiformes, Engraulidae. The transcript has 3 exons. The record is from RefSeq and is a predicted model, not a curated record.